Molecule: long non-coding RNA, 1212 nt
Filed under: Canis lupus familiaris (dog)
Lineage: Eukaryota; Metazoa; Chordata; Mammalia; Carnivora; Canidae
Description: lncRNA (ENSCAFG00030014971.1)
Source: RNAcentral
AUGCGGGGGGGGGGGGGAGGGAGGAGCGGGCCCCCAGGGGAUGCGGGGAGAGGGGGAGCGGGACCCCCAGGGGAUGCGGGGGGCGGGGGGGGAGGAGCGGGCCCCCAGGGGAUGCGGGGGGGGGGGGGGGAGGAGCGGGCCCCCAGGGGAUGCGGGGAGAGGGGGAGCGGGACCCCCAGGGGAUGCGGGGGGGGGGGGAGGGAGGAGCGGGACCCCAGGGGAUGCGGGGAGAGGGGGAGCGGGACCCCCAGGGGAUGCGGGGGGCGGGGGGGAGGAGCGGGCCCCCAGGGGAUGCGGGGAGAGGGGGAGCGGGACCCCCAGGGGAUGCGGGGGGGGGGGGGGGGGGAGGGGGACCCCGGGGAUGCGGGGAGAGGGGGAGCGGGCCCCCCAGGGGAUGCGGGGGGCGGGGGGGAGGAGCGGGCCCCCAGGGGAUGCGGGGAGAGGGGGAGCGGGACCCCCAGGGGAUGCGGGGGGGGGGGGGGGGGGGGCGGGACCCCAGGGGUUCCGGGGAUGGGGAGAGGAGCGGGACCCCAGGGGAUGCGGGGGGGGCGGGGGGGGGAGGAGCGGGACCCCAGGGGAUGCGGGGGGAGGGGGAGGAGCGGGACCUCAGGGGAUGCGGGGGUGGGGGGAGUAGAAGUGGGACCCCCGGGGGAUGCGGGGAGAGGGGUGGAGCGGGACCCCUGGGGGAUGCGGGGCGGAGGGGGAGCGGGACCCCCAGGGGAUCCGGAUCCGGGGAUGCGGAGGGAGGUGGGAGAUGGCCCCCAGGGGAUGCGGGGAGAAGGGGGAAGCGGGACCCCCAGGGGAUGUGGGGGGAGGGGAGGGGAGGGGGGCCCCCAGGGGAUCCGUGAUGGCGGGGAGGGGCCCCCAGGGGAUGCGGGGGCGGUGAGGUGGCGGGGAGGGGGCUCCCCUCUGCGCGCCUUCCCCGCCCCACCUCCUGCCCCCCGCCGGCUUCUGCUGCGGCUCUGGCCCGACUGGAAAUACCUGUCUGCACUGGCGCGCUCCCAGGCCCUGCCCCGGCGCCUCCUGCAGGGUGCCAGGGGACCGUGCGCCGGGCGACGCCGCCAGGGCUCCCCGCUGCAGCCCCAGCGAUGGCGACCCCGGGGCACAGGCGGCGGGGCGGGGGAGGGGGGCGGGGGGCAGGCUGGGAGGCUUCCCCACACGGGGCCUGGACACAGGGACACACGGGCAAAGAUAGAAGUGCUCUCCUCCUGA